Molecule: ribosomal RNA, 327 nt
Filed under: uncultured eukaryote
Lineage: Eukaryota
Description: partial 18S ribosomal RNA
Rfam family: Eukaryotic small subunit ribosomal RNA
Source: RNAcentral
CCCUUAGAUGUUCUGGGCCGCACACGCGCUACACUGAAGGAGGCAGCGUGUACUCCUGGAUCGGAAGAUUUGGGUAACCCGCGAAUCUCCUUCGUGCUAGGGAUUGAGGUUUGCAAUUAUCCUUCAUGAACGAGGAAUUCCCAGUAAGUGCAAGUCAUAAGCUUGCGCUGACUACGUCCCUGCCCUUUGUACACACCGCCCGUCGCUACUACCGAUUGAAUGAUUUAGUGAGGACUUCGGACUGGGACCGAUGCGGCUUUCGGGCUGCGUCGGUAUUCUGGAAAGAUGUCCAAACUGUAUCAUUUAGAGGAAGUAAAAGUCGUAGCA